CUUCUCAUGUUGUGAUGUGCUGUUGGGCAUUUGAAGUUGUACUGCACGAGCUAAGGACUGUCGACGGAUUGUUAAAAAUAAAGAAACACAUGAUUCCAUGAUGUAUGAAGAAAAAUCAUUGUUAUCACACAACAUUUCCCAGUAAUAAUUUAACAUAUGUGCGGAAACUAUAACUUCUUUCAGGUUUGAUAGCAUAAGUGUUUGGGAAUUCACAUUGCCAAGGUCAAUACUUUGCCGGAGAACAGUUUCACAAUGCCGGAUGAAAUAGUAAAAGUUGUCACUUGGAAUUUUGAGUCCUCCUCUGUGUAAUUUCUCGGUCCACUCCGCAAACUUUUUUACAUGCUCUUGUAACAUUGAUGAUUGUUUAACCACAACAUUUGUCAUAGCUUCACGAAUUUUUAUGGUUUUUCAAGUUUUUGUGUUGGUAUGUUUUCUUCUGACGUUUUGAAAUUAUAUACCCUGAAAUGUAGUAUAGCACUGAUUGGUUUGAAUUUGUCAUUGUGCUAUCUAGCUUGGUUGCAUUCUUUUGGUACAGCUGUGCACGAGAGACAUCAAUAGGGCAUCUUGUAGCACAGAUAAAAACAGUUUGGCGGAAAGUUCACCUUCAAAUUCAAUGUUCUCAAAUUCAGAUAUAACAAUGGCAGAUGACUUAGAUUGAAACUCACUAUUAACUGUUAUUUUAUAAAAAAAAAAUGAGAAAAGUU
Molecule: long non-coding RNA, 704 nt
Filed under: Mytilus galloprovincialis (Mediterranean mussel)
Lineage: Eukaryota; Metazoa; Mollusca; Bivalvia; Mytilida; Mytilidae
Source: RNAcentral